UGGGCAACCUGCCCUCAGCUCUGGGAUAACCCCCGGGAAACCGGGGCUAAUACCGGAUACGACCUCCGCGGGCAUCUGCGGAGGUGGAAAGGUUUUCCGGCUGAGGAUGGGCCCGCGGCCUAUCAGCUAGUUGGUGGGGUGAUGGCCCACCAAGGCGACGACGGGUAGCCGGCCUGAGAGGGCGACCGGCCACACUGGGACUGAGACACGGCCCAGACUCCUACGGGAGGCA
This 232-nucleotide ribosomal RNA is filed under the name uncultured bacterium. RNAcentral's name for it is "partial 16S ribosomal RNA". It matches the Rfam family "Bacterial small subunit ribosomal RNA", at positions 118 to 350 of the family's 1533-position model. The record is from RNAcentral.